GGGCGAUUAGCUCAGCUGGCUAGAGCGCCACUUUGACAUAGUGGAGGUCGUAGGUUCGAGUCCUAUAUCGCCCACCA
This 77-nucleotide transfer RNA is filed under the name Planctomycetota bacterium. RNAcentral describes it as "tRNA-Val". It matches the Rfam family "tRNA". From Rfam's summary of the family: Transfer RNA (tRNA) molecules are approximately 80 nucleotides in length. Their secondary structure includes four short double-helical elements and three loops (D, anti-codon, and T loops). Lineage: Bacteria; Pseudomonadati; Planctomycetota. The record is from RNAcentral.